GCGGGAAUAGCUCAGAGGUAGAGCACAACCUUGCCAAGGUUGGGGUCGCGGGUUCGAAUCUCGUUUCCCGCUCCA
This 75-nucleotide transfer RNA is filed under the name Campylobacter jejuni. RNAcentral's name for it is "tRNA-Gly". It matches the Rfam family "tRNA". From Rfam's summary of the family: Transfer RNA (tRNA) molecules are approximately 80 nucleotides in length. Their secondary structure includes four short double-helical elements and three loops (D, anti-codon, and T loops). The record is from RNAcentral. Lineage: Bacteria; Pseudomonadati; Campylobacterota; Epsilonproteobacteria; Campylobacterales; Campylobacteraceae. RNAcentral also lists the same sequence under 2 other names.